Molecule: ribosomal RNA, 721 nt
Filed under: uncultured bacterium
Lineage: Bacteria
Description: bacterial SSU rRNA
Rfam family: Bacterial small subunit ribosomal RNA
Source: RNAcentral
GGGUGAGUAACACGUAGGGAACCUGCCCGUGCACCGGGAAUACGCUCUGGAAACGGAGAACAAAUCCCGAUGUACAGGAAGGAGGCAUCUUCUUUCUGUGAAACAUCCUUCAGGGGAUGGGGCGCGGAUGGACCUGCGGUGCAUUAGUUGGUUGGCGGGGUAAAGGCCCACCAAGACGAUGAUGCAUAGCCGGCCUGAGAGGGCGGACGGCCACAUUGGGACUGAGACACGGCCCAGACUCCUGCGGGAGGCAGCAGUAGGGAAUUUUCGUCAAUGGGCGCAAGCCUGAACGAGCGAUGCCGCGUGAGUGAAGAAGGCCUUCGGGUCGUAGAGCUCUGUUGCGGGGGAAAAAAGGCAGCAUCAGGAAAUGGGUGCUGACUGAUGGUGCCCCGCCAGAAAGUCACGGCUAACUACGUGCCAGCAGCCGCGGUAAUACGUAGGUGGCGAGCGUUAUCCGGAAUGAUUGGGCGUAAAGGGUGCGCAGGCGGUCCUGCAAGUCUGGAGUGAAACGCAUGAGCUCAACUCAUGCAUGGCUUUGGAAACUGGAGGACUGGAGAGCAGGAGAGGGCGGUGGAACUCCAUGUGUAGCGGUAAAAUGCGUAGAUAUAUGGAAGAACACCAGUGGCGAAGGCGGCCGCCUGGCCUGUUGCUGACGCUGAGGCACGAAAGCGUGGGGAGCAAAUAGGAUUAGAUACCCUAGUAGUCCACGCCGUAAACGAUG